This 253-nucleotide ribosomal RNA is filed under the name uncultured bacterium. RNAcentral describes it as "partial 16S ribosomal RNA". It matches the Rfam family "Bacterial small subunit ribosomal RNA", at positions 524 to 776 of the family's 1533-position model. The record is from RNAcentral.
UACGGAGGGUGCAAGCGUUAUUCGGAAUUAUUGGGCGUAAAGGGCGUGUAGGCGGCCAGAUAAGUCAGAGGUGAAAGCCCGGGGCUCAACCCCGGAAGUGCCUUUGAAACUAUCUGGCUUGAGUGCGGGAGAGGAAAGCGGAAUUCCCAGUGUAGAGGUGAAAUUCGUAGAUAUUGGGAGGAACACCGGUGGCGAAGGCGGCUUUCUGGACCGACACUGACGCUGAGGCGCGAAAGCGUGGGGAGCAAACAGG